This is a long non-coding RNA of Diprion similis, 1217 nucleotides long. RefSeq lists it as uncharacterized. The record is from RefSeq and is a predicted model, not a curated record. NCBI's taxonomy places the organism in Eukaryota, Metazoa, Arthropoda, Insecta, Hymenoptera, Diprionidae. The transcript has 4 exons.
AUAACUUACGUCAAUAUAAUUCCGGGUGCGGCAAAGUCCGUGAAGUUGGGUUCCUUGGGUCCAUAAAUCGGCGUACGGAACUGAAGAAGAAUAAUGACAUUCAAAUUCCACGGGAUAUUGUCAAGAUACCGAGUGGAUAAUGCUCACCCGAAAUUUCGCCACAUCCAUAGAAAGUUCUUCCAUAUCAGAGCUUUCAUAUGGCAAGGAUCCAGCAUCUUGAAUGACGACUUCGACCCCUUUUCCUCGGGUGGCAGAUCGGGAACCUUAAAUGUUGUAAACGCUUGUCAGGAGGAACGCCGAUGACGCUACUGAGGAUGCUGCUCCUUCUUCUCAGUCCCAUGUUCUGCCUGCGGCUUAACUUGAGGAAAACCUCCUCGAGGGUGUCGAGCCUGUGCAUGGCCAUUAGUCUGGUGGGCGAUUCUUCGGCGAGGAACUUCCCCCCCCUCAUUAAACCGAUGAUGCUGGCCUGCCUCGUCUCCUCUAUAUAGUGAGUAGUUAUUAUCACAGUUCUGUUCCCGUCUUUAGUUAUGUGCACCAGGUGGUCCCAGAUGCUCUGCCGCAGCACCGGGUCCACACCGACCGUCGGCUCGUCCAGGAUCAGCAACUCUGGAUCUGGAAGAAGCGCCGCUGCGAACGAGACUCGCCUCUGCUGGCCUCCCGACAAGCUCUUUACGAAACGAUCUUCUCCCGGUAGCUGGAGCAGCUGAAAUAUCGUUUGAGAAUGAGAUAUAAUCGGUUUAUUGAGGUUUUUUAGGGGGAAGAUGGACCGACGAAUGGACACUCACCUUGAUCAGGAAUUCGAGCUUCUCGUCAACCUGCUGAGUCGUCAUGCCUGCGCACCAGCCGAAGAAGAUGAACGUUUCCCGUAUUGAGAAUUCGCCGUACAGUGCUAGCUCCUGCGGCAUGUAUCCUACCCGAGGGCCCGGAACUCCGGAUCCCUUGGAGCCAGGACGACCGCCCAGCACCCAUAUUUCACCGGAGUUUAACCGUCGUCUGCCGACGAUGCAGGAAAGCAACGUCGUCUUUCCACAUCCGCUCGCGCCGAGCAAUCCAUAGCUGUUUAGAACAUAAGUGAAGAUUAAUACAACUGUACAAAGCGAUGAACAUAAGAGGCAAUGCUUCGGCAAAGUGACUUUCGCAGACUUUUCUGCAAGCAAUCCAACCCGAAGUUGCCUAAUUUUGGAUCGCCGGCUCUUCACACAAAUACCUGAUCAACU